Molecule: ribosomal RNA, 258 nt
Filed under: uncultured bacterium
Lineage: Bacteria
Description: partial 16S ribosomal RNA
Rfam family: Bacterial small subunit ribosomal RNA
Source: RNAcentral
UACGUAGGGUGCAAGCGUUGUCCGGAAUUAUUGGGCGUAAAGAGCUCGUAGGCGGUCUGUCGCGUCGGCUGUGAAAACCUGGGGCUUAACUCCGGGCUUGCAGCCGAUACGGGCAGACUAGAGUUCGGCAGGGGGAGACUGGAAUUCCUGGUGUAGCGGUGGAAAAUGCGCAGAUAAUCAGGAGGAACACCGGUGGCGAAGGCGGGUCUCUGGGCCGAAACUGACGCUGAGGAGCGAAAGCGUGGGGGAGCAAACAGG